Molecule: unclassified non-coding RNA, 521 nt
Filed under: uncultured Glomeromycotina
Lineage: Eukaryota; Fungi; Glomeromycota
Description: SSU rRNA
Rfam family: Eukaryotic small subunit ribosomal RNA
Source: RNAcentral
CCAAUAGCGUAUAUUAAAGUUGUUGCAGUUAAAAAGCUCGUAGUUGAAUUUCGGGAUCGAAUUGUUGGUCGUGCUUCGGUACGCACUGGCAUUAUCGGUUUCUACCUUCUGAAGAACCGCGAUGUCAUUAAUUUGGUGUCGUGGGGAAUCAGGACUGUUACUUUGAAAAAAUUAGAGUGUUUAAAGCAGGCUUACGCUUGAAUACAUUAGCAUGGAAUAAUGAAAUAGGACGUUUGAUUCUAUUUUGUUGGUUUCUAGGAUCGACGUAAUGAUUAAUAGGGAUAGUUGGGGGCAUUAGUAUUCAAUUGUCAGAGGUGAAAUUCUUGGAUUUAUUGAAGACUAACUACUGCGAAAGCAUUUGCCAAGGAUGUUUUCAUUAAUCAAGAACGAAAGUUAGGGGAUCGAAGACGAUCAGAUACCGUCGUAGUCUUAACCAUAAACUAUGCCGACUAGGGAUCGGAUGAUGUUAAUUUUAUAAUGACUCAUUCGGCGCCUUACGGGAACCCAAACACUUUGGUUUC